GGAGAGAUCGCAUAGUGGCCGAGUGCGUUCGCUUGGAAAGCGGAUAUACGCGCAAGCGUAUCGUGGGUUCGAAUCCCACUCUCUCCG
This 87-nucleotide transfer RNA is filed under the name Candidatus Berkelbacteria bacterium RBG_13_40_8. RNAcentral's name for it is "tRNA-Ser". It matches the Rfam family "tRNA". From Rfam's summary of the family: Transfer RNA (tRNA) molecules are approximately 80 nucleotides in length. Their secondary structure includes four short double-helical elements and three loops (D, anti-codon, and T loops). Further hydrogen bonds mediate the characteristic L-shaped molecular structure. tRNAs have two regions of fundamental functional importance: the anti-codon, which is responsible for specific mRNA codon recognition, and the 3' end, to which the tRNAs corresponding amino acid is attached (by aminoacyl-tRNA synthetases). tRNAs cope with the degeneracy of the genetic code in two manners: having more than one tRNA (with a specific anti-codon) for a particular amino acid; and 'wobble' base-pairing, i.e. permitting non-standard base-pairing at the 3rd anti-codon position. Lineage: Bacteria; Candidatus Berkelbacteria. The record is from RNAcentral.